This 465-nucleotide ribosomal RNA is filed under the name Vreelandella stevensii. RNAcentral's name for it is "partial 16S ribosomal RNA". It matches the Rfam family "Bacterial small subunit ribosomal RNA", at positions 338 to 795 of the family's 1533-position model. The record is from RNAcentral. Lineage: Bacteria; Pseudomonadati; Pseudomonadota; Gammaproteobacteria; Oceanospirillales; Halomonadaceae.
CCUACGGGUGGCAGCAGUGGGGAAUAUUGGACAAUGGGGGCAACCCUGAUCCAGCCAUGCCGCGUGUGUGAAGAAGGCCCUCGGGUUGUAAAGCACUUUCAGUGAGGAAGAACGCCUGGUGGUUAAUACCCAUCAGGAAAGACAUCACUCACAGAAGAAGCACCGGCUAACUCCGUGCCAGCAGCCGCGGUAAUACGGAGGGUGCGAGCGUUAAUCGGAAUUACUGGGCGUAAAGCGCGCGUAGGUGGCUUGAUAAGCCGGUUGUGAAAGCCCCGGGCUCAACCUGGGAACGGCAUCCGGAACUGUCAAGCUAGAGUGCAGGAGAGGAAGGUAGAAAUCCCGGUGUAGCGGUGAAAUGCGUAGAGAUCGGGAGGAAUACCAGUGGCGAAGGCGGCCUUCUGGACUGACACUGACACUGAGGUGCGAAAGCGUGGGUAGCAAACAGGAUUAGAUACCCUGGUAGUC